CGGGCAGGGCAGGGCAGGGCAGGGGCAGCCCGGGCAAGUGACCUGGCCGGGGAGGGACAGCGCUGAGAAGCGUCCCCCGAGCCGUCCCCGCGCUCUGCCUGCCUGUCAGGGUAGUUUGGAAAUGCUGUUGGUGACACAGGGACACGGGCAAACAAACAGUCACAUCGCAUCUCCCCUGACGCGUUAAGUGGGAACUGAGAGCACGAACAGGCUGUGCUACCUUCCCCGCAUUCCCAGCUCGGUGGAGACGAGGACAUGCAAGACGGUGCCCCGGCUGGUGCGCUGCUCCUCAGCCUCGGAACAGCCCUUUCAUGGGAAGAGACCACCGAUUGCUGCUAAAGGCACUGCCAGGAUCUAAUUAAUGUCACCGACCCAUCUGCCCAGGGAAACCAUUAGAAAAGCCCUCCACCGCUGCAAAUAGUAAUGACUAUUUCCUUUUCUUCUCACUGCGAUUCUGAGAGAGAUUUGAGAAUCCAAGUGUACGGGAGUAGCAGGAAUACAACAAUUGACAAAAUUGAACACCGGGAAUUCACUCCUUUUGUAAUCUAUUUACAGAGAAAUCCUGUGGAGGGUGACAUUUUCAUGUAAGUGAAUGAAUAACAGAUACAUGUAAAGAAAGGACAUCAAGAAAAAUAUCAAGUCUUGCACAAAAUAUACAUCUGUGAUCCCGCUGCCAAAUUAUCCAAAAAUACCCCAAAGCCGUUUAAAAAGACAA
Long non-coding RNA from Passer domesticus (house sparrow), 715 nucleotides. RefSeq lists it as uncharacterized. The record is from RefSeq and is a predicted model, not a curated record. NCBI's taxonomy places the organism in Eukaryota, Metazoa, Chordata, Aves, Passeriformes, Passeridae. The transcript has 2 exons.